This 26-nucleotide non-coding RNA is filed under the name Mus musculus (house mouse). The record is from RNAcentral. Lineage: Eukaryota; Metazoa; Chordata; Mammalia; Rodentia; Muridae.
UCNGAGGUACCAGGAGCAGGAUGAUG